Molecule: long non-coding RNA, 930 nt
Filed under: Olea europaea (common olive)
Lineage: Eukaryota; Viridiplantae; Streptophyta; Magnoliopsida; Lamiales; Oleaceae
Description: long non-coding RNA (OEUR_LNC009222)
Source: RNAcentral
UAUUCCUUCCUUUUACUGAUAACCAUUGGCUACCAAUAUAACCUUAAAGGUAUUUAGAGAGUCUUCAGCAUUAUAUUUUCUCCUAAAUACCCAUUUACAUCCAAUAGGUUUGGAUCCAGUGGUAAAUCGACAAGUUUCCAAGUUUUAUUAGAUAUCAUUGAAUCCAUUUCAUUUUUAAUUGCAUCUUUUCAAAAAAUGCUAUCACGAGAAGCCAUAGUUUUUUUUUUAUAAGUUUUAGGGUCGGUUUCUACUCGUAGAACAAAAGAAAUUGUUCUUACAGCAUUCAACUAAUUUCCAUCUACUAAGUAGAAAGAAAUAAGUUAAGAAUCAAUUUCAUCCGGCCCCAAAGACUUCUCAACUCUAGUUUUUUUGCUUUUUCGUGGUUUACUAUAGGACUAUAAGCAAAAAUCGUAAAACCAGAAAAUCGAACCGAAACCACAUUUUAAAAACCAUCGGUUUGGUGCCACGUAGACCCGAUCAACGAAAUAGUUUUGAACCAAACCAAAUCGGUCAAAAUGGUUUGGUUUAGGUUUGAGAAUUUUAAUUACGGUUAAAACCAAACUGGACCCGCAAAAAAUAUAUAAAAAUAAAAAAAUGAAUUUUUUUGAAAAUUCAUCCAAAUAUGUAAAAUUCAAUAGUUGUCAUUUGAGAGUAUUUUUGUCAAUUUUCAGUUUUCUAAUACAUAUAUAUUAUUAUUACCUAAUAAUCCUAAUUUAUAUCUAUUAAUCUCAAAACUAACAUAAUCUAUCAAAAGUAAUUUUUCUCUUCAGAAUUCAGAUGAACUCCAGACGACACCCGACACAGUCCUGAGCCACCGGCACCACACACACUUCUUCUUCAGAUUUUUUACGCCUCUUCAAAGUUGAAUUGUAGUCUAUUACACCAAAUCGGAGACAAAGAGAUCCUAGGCCUUCGGUGAUAAUAUUUGCU